GAUGAACGUUAGCGGGAGGCUUAAUACAUGCAAGUCGAGCGGUAAGUUUUUAUAGCAAUAUGAAGACCUAGAGCGGCGCACGGGUGAGUAACGCGUACACGACCUGGCCUAAACUGGGGGAUAGCCUUGGGAAACUGAGAGUAAUCCCGCAUGUGAUUAUGUUACUGAUGGUGAUAUAAUUAAAGCUUCGGCGGUUUAGGAUGGGUGUGCGUCUGAUUAGCUAGUUGGUAGUGUAACGGACUACCAAGGCGAUGAUCAGUAGGGGGCGUGAGAGCGUGACCCCCCACACGGGUACUGAGACACGGACCCGACUCCUACGGAGGCAGCAGUAAGGAAUAUUGGUCAAU
Molecule: ribosomal RNA, 347 nt
Filed under: uncultured bacterium
Lineage: Bacteria
Description: bacterial SSU rRNA
Rfam family: Bacterial small subunit ribosomal RNA
Source: RNAcentral